Molecule: transfer RNA, 73 nt
Filed under: Coxiella endosymbiont of Amblyomma nuttalli
Lineage: Bacteria; Pseudomonadati; Pseudomonadota; Gammaproteobacteria; Legionellales; Coxiellaceae
Description: tRNA-Gly
Rfam family: tRNA
About the family: Transfer RNA (tRNA) molecules are approximately 80 nucleotides in length.
Source: RNAcentral
AGCGGGUGUAGUUCAAUGGUAGAACUUCAGCCUUCCAAGCUGAUAGCGUGGGUUCGAUCCCCAUCACCCGCUU